RNAcentral lists this transfer RNA (69 nucleotides) under human gut metagenome. It matches the Rfam family "tRNA". Rfam says of the family: Transfer RNA (tRNA) molecules are approximately 80 nucleotides in length. The record is from RNAcentral. RNAcentral also lists the same sequence under 1 other name.
CCUUAGCUCAGCUGGUUAGAGCAUCCGGCUCAUAACCGGACGGUCAUAGGUUCGAGUCCUAUAGGGUCC